This is a long non-coding RNA of Cyprinus carpio carpio, 1224 nucleotides long. The record is from Ensembl. Lineage: Eukaryota; Metazoa; Chordata; Actinopteri; Cypriniformes; Cyprinidae.
AUAACACCGCUUGUACGUCACAUAAAUAACUGCAUAAAUUCAGUCAAAGUACACUCCGAACAAUGAGAAAUUUUGACCGCUGUAUAAAUUUGAUGAAAAUUGAAAAUUAUCGACAGAUGCAGCACGCGUUUCUUUUUUAUAGUCGCUGGAAAAUGACGCAAGCGAGACGUAUAAGAGCGACCGUCUCGCGCAUGACGUUCUCUUGGAGUCGUUGCUAUCGCUUGGCGAGAACCAUCUUCUCAUCAUGAGAGCGAAGGUAAGUACCUUUUUGAUAUACAUGUUAAAUAGUUUAUCGUUCUCUAGCUAGUCUUGAUAGCAUUUUGGUGGCUAAUGCGGUACUUAUUAUACUAAUUUAGUUGUUUGUUGUGAUUUAGCUGAAUAUUAAGUUUACUUUUAACUAUGUGAAGUAAAAUGCCUAACUGAGAGAUUUAAGUUGGUGUGUUUUUUUUUUUUUUUUGUAGUGUUGUAUACUCGGGCCUACUGUGCUAACGAUAGCCCGCUAGUUUUUUCGCAGGGAUAUUGUAACCACGUUGAGUUUGCAGUUGCUGCAAGUUAUUGUUUCUGGGUUUUUUUUUUUUUUUUUAUUGACUUAAACAUUAACACUUGAAAUAAUAGUACACCAUGUUACGUAUUUAUCGCUUUUUGGUUUCUUAAUACUAAUCCGUCUGAACGCCCAUGUUGCUUAGUGAAAAUAUAGCCAGUGGCGCUAGUAGCUAAUGCGCAUGUGUAGCUUUGAGUUGCAGUGUUUCUUUAAACUGCCUAAUUCCCUUUUAACAAUCAUUUUUAUUAAUUUUGCACUUUUCUUGCAGUGGCGAAAGAAGCGUAUGCGCAGGUACGUUUGUAAACCUAGGAGCUGCAUCUUACGUUUUGUAUUGCAGUGGGCAUGAAGUGACUGAGUCCAUGUGAUUUUAGGCUGAAGCGUAAAAGGAGAAAGAUGAGGCAGAGGUCUAAGUAAACUGGACCCUGUUCGCUGAAGCUGAGAGUGCUCCUCUACUUCAAUCUCCUCAGCAAGAGUCUGCUGGAAGCCCAACUGAAGCUCCACUCAUCCACCAUCUAUGAGGUCUGCUUUCUUCUGAAUGAGGAUUUGGUUUCCCAUCACCUGGUUCUGCAGAAGCAUCCUGGUCUUGAUGACCAUGUGAACUGUUUUGGACAUUCCUUAGACCUGUCAGCUCAGCAAGUUUGUUAAUGUCUUCAAUAAAUCUUUUGGUUUAAAAAUCCUUUGCC